Molecule: unclassified non-coding RNA, 1502 nt
Filed under: Copidosoma floridanum
Lineage: Eukaryota; Metazoa; Arthropoda; Insecta; Hymenoptera; Encyrtidae
Description: choline/ethanolamine kinase, transcript variant X2
Source: RNAcentral
ACUAUUGAGCCGUCCCUGUCUUUAGUAUACAUUUUUUUAUUCAUCGAACUAAAGCUGCCGGGAUUUUUUUGCAAAAUACUUUAUUCGCUCGUUCGUAUAGCGAAAAGCUGGUUGUUUUGUUCAACUUGGAUCAUCGAUAAGAUGCGCGUUUUCGCGGUCUGGCGGCGAGUCGCCGUGGACCGCGCUCAAUGGAUGGUGGACUGUCGAUUAUCGUCUAACAUGUCUGAGCACAACCCGGAAAUGAGGGCUACUGCGGCGCGCAUUUGCCGCGACUACUUGUAUGGUGUGUGGAAAAACGUUACCCCAGAUAAUAUUGUUCUUAAAAGGAUCAGCGGCGGUCUGAGCAACUGGCUGUACAACGUCCAGCUUCCCGAAAACGCGAUACCGGUGCGUGGCGAGCCAAGACAGGUCCUGCUGCGGCUGUACGGCCAGGUGCACGGGGAGCGCGCCCUCGAGGGCCUCAUCACCGAGUCCGUGAUCUUCACCCUACUGUCGGAGAGGCGGCUGGGCCCGAAGCUCCACGGCAUAUUCCCGGGCGGCCGCAUCGAGGAGUACAUACCUGCGCGGCCCUUGCUCACCAAGGAGCUCGCCGAUCCGAGCCUCAGUUGCCUCAUAGCCGAGAAAAUGGCCCAGAUACACAGCAUGCAGGUGCCGAUCAGCAAGGAGCCUACUUGGCUCUGGGACACGGCCAACAAGUGGCUGGACACAGCCAAUGACAUUCUCGAGAACGUCGAGGAUAUCGAUGGCAAGCAUCUCGAAAACGUCAACUUCAUCAAGGCCGCCGAUCUUGAGCACGAAAUCAAGUGGUUGAGGUCUCUAGUCAAUAAACAGAAACACCCGGUUGUAUUUUGCCACAACGACAUGCAGGAGGGCAACAUUUUGCUCCGCCAGAACUCCCAAAAGCCCGAACUGGUGGUAAUCGAUUUUGAAUACUGUUCCUACAAUUAUCGAGGCUUUGACGUGGCAAACCACUUCCUAGAAUGGCAGUACGAUUACACGGUGCCUACAUAUCCCUUCUUUACCGAGCGAGCUGGAUCUGUACCGACCAAAGAACAAAAGUUUCACAGGACCGCAAGUCGCACGCUGACAGAGAGAGCGAGCGAGAGAGCAAGCGAGAAAGGCACACUCAUGGUCAUGAUGUUGCCUGGCAAGCUGGGCUCACCCACACGUAGUUUGCGUACGGGGGAACCAGUGUGCGAGAUCAGACGUACACAUGACGAUGAUCGUUCAAACGGCAAGACACGCUGUCCAUCAAACGGGUGAGGAGGACAAAAGAAGAAGAAGAAGAAGAAGAUGACGGAGCUGUGACACAAAGUCGGCCUAUCAAUUAGAGACACUCCUGGAGGAGUGUCAAGGGACGGCCCCACAAGGGAUGCCAACCGAGUCGUCCUUCGCCCACGUCUCUGCAUCAUUAUAAAUAGACUCAAUUUCAUAAGGAGCUAUUUGAGGUCCACUGGAAAAGAGAGCCGUGCAGAGGAGGAUCGCAUCAUGGCAGAAGUCAA